AUACUUACCUGGCAGAGGAGACACUAUGAUCACAAAGGUGGUUUUCCUAGGGCAAGGAUGAUCCGUUGCACUGGCGAUCUGCUGAACCCAGUGAUUUCCCCACAUGGGUGAAACCCUAUUGCAUAAUUGGUGUGUUGGUGUGGGGGUGCAUUCGGGUUUGUCCCCA
RNAcentral lists this small nuclear RNA (166 nucleotides) under Dasypus novemcinctus (nine-banded armadillo). Its description in RNAcentral is "U1 spliceosomal RNA (ENSDNOG00000028693.1)". It matches the Rfam family "U1 spliceosomal RNA". From Rfam's summary of the family: U1 is a small nuclear RNA (snRNA) component of the spliceosome (involved in pre-mRNA splicing). Lineage: Eukaryota; Metazoa; Chordata; Mammalia; Cingulata; Dasypodidae. The record is from RNAcentral.